CGCCCGGCACCGCCCCGCCGAGGGGCCGCGGGCAGGGAGCGGGGGCGGGCCCGGCGGGUGCCCAGCGGCAGCACCGCCCCUCGCGGGCGGGGAUGGGGCGAGGGGCCGCCUCGUCCUCCCCGCCAUCCGCACCUCGGCAUGGAGAACAUGAAGGCACAGUUACCUCAUACAUGGAAGACUUGGCAACUUGUGGCAAAAACGACUGGAAAGAUAAGAGAAGACAUCAUUAUCAAGAAUUGUUACAGAUUCCCAGAAUAAAUGAGGUUGGAAAAGACUUCUUGAGAUCAUUGACCACAACCUUUGACUGAAUAUCACCAUGUCAGCUAGGCCAUGGCAGUAACUGAACGUCCAGUCUUUUCUUAACACUUCCAUACAAAGGAAGAAACAGAAUUUAGAGGAAAUAUAACAGCUACAGCAAUUUAUAAAAAGCAGUUUUAAGCAGGGCUCAAGUCAGUAGAGCUCCACAACAGACAGAGUUGUGGCUCAUACACCUCAGGCUUUCUGUCCUUUGUCUAUCCACAUCAAAUCAAUCCCUUCAGAAAAAGGCUACAUACCUUAGUUUUGCAAAACUUCUCUGAUAGCAUUUGGAAUAGUUGUAGCAGCAAUAAAUCAAACAACAAUAAGAACAUUUGACUGCUGAUGGGGAAGCAAAUAGGAGGAAAGUAUGGCAUUCCUGUAGUAUUGCUUGGGAUUUAAAAUUUUUCAAGAGAGACAGAACCACAGUCUUUUAGCCUACAAUUUGAAUUUAAGGAAGUUUUAUUCUAUAUCAAGGACACAGCCAAAAUGCAUGCUUCAUCCCUUCCCCUAGGGGAGACAUUACUGUCAGGACUGUGUGCAGAAUACAGCAAAAGUUAGGGAAUGUCAAAGACCCAACUGGUUCUCUUCUCCUCAGAGCAUGUCUGCAUCAGCUCAAGCCACAGUCCUAUUUAAAUCUGAACUGUAUUUUUUCCUGGCUGACUUCAGUCCCUAAGGGAACAUCCAUCAGCCAAGAAGAAGUGGAUCACGCAACGUCCCAGCCUCACACUUGAUACAGUCAACCUCAGGGUGACUUGGGAAAGAACUGUCACAGCCAUCCUGAAACUAAGCAAUUGCUGGAGUAUUCCCACUCUGCAACCUGCCCAUGACUUUGGCUUGUGUUGUGCAGCUGUGAAGAAACUCUCCAAGUCUUUGGCUCUUCUGCAGAUUAUGCCAUGUUUCUCACCAGAAGCAAGCCAGUACACUGCAUAAGAAAGGAAGACCGUCAAUAAUGAUACGCUUUCAAUUUAAAAGAAGGGAACAUGGCCCAAUCCUUAACUUCAGGCACUUGGAAGUUUGACAGUUCAUCAAAUUCAUAACAAGAGACUUACUGUAAUGGAUAAACCAGUAAAAAUGCAGAGAUGAUGACUCGAAACAAGAGAAUCCCUAAUGUCUGCCCUGUAUAGUACUGCUUCGACACAAGGAACGAGGAAAUGUGUGUCAGAAGAAACCUGGUUUUGCUUGUAGGGCGGUGGAAACCAAGCUGUACAAUACAGGAGCCAGAAGAUGUGAAGUAUUACACAGCACUUGUGGCUGCAAUAUUUCAUUUUCCCCUGUGGCUGUUGGAGCAAUGACUAGAACACUCAAACGUCAAAGGUAAACUGCAAACCCUCCCCUUUUUCAGUUCAACAGUGUAGUACAUCAUCAUUGACCAGAUUACAAAAUUCAAGAGAGGUAAAGAACUGGGAUUUUUGGGAAGGGGAAGAAGAAGCAAAAUAAGAAAAAAUUUUCAAUAAAGAGUAUUCUAGGUCCAAAUGGAUUUUACAAUUCCAACCCCCGCCCCCGAGACAUUUCAAUGAUGACUUAUGUUCCAGUUUUCCCGAAUUAAGAAACACCAUCAAAAUAUUUCAGAUGUGACAGAAGCCUUCAGCUUCAAAAUACAAUAAAAGUGAAAUGCUUGAACUGGACCACUAGAUUAAGAUACUAUUAAAAAACCAUGAGGGUCAAUAAAAACAAAACAAUUUCUUUGUGUAGGUGUAAAGAAAAGCUACUUGAAGUAUGUAAGCAAAUAGCUAGAUGUGAGUACUUCCACAACACAGUAAUGCUUUCAACCGUUCAACCAUACCAGCUAUCUGUUCAUACGGCAGAAGUUCUGCUUUAAUUAUAGGUCUCAGUUUUGUAUCAGAAUAUAUUCAGGUAUUUCUUUCUCUGUUUCUUUUGAAAUUUGAGAGCUUACAGGUUUGGGGGUUUUUGGUUUGGUUUGUUGAGGUUUUUGGGUUUUGUGGAUUUUUUUGUUGUUGUUGUUGUUGUUUGGUUGGUGUGGGUUUUUUAAAAUUUUGGGCACUUAAUAUUUAAGGAACACAUAUGCAAAUCCACACAAGAGAACUCUAAAGGUAUCUCAGUUUAAAAGGCAUGUUUUUUCUCUUUGUCAUACAAUCAACAUUCUUUUUUGAAGUCUUGCCUCUCCUGCCCCAUGUUACAUUCUCCACUACGAUUUGUUUUUCAGCUGUGCGGACUUCGGACACCGGUGUGUAGUAAGCACUAAGGAAUUUCCUGAGUCAGGUUCAUUCAUCAUUACCUGUACAAAGUAAAAGAAGGGGAGAGCAGUGUGAAAAGGAGAGACACACAUAGACACAAGUGAAGCUAGGGUUACAAAACAAUCUAAAAACCACAAUUUGGUAAGCAAUAACACAAGAAUACACUAAGUCUGUCACCCAUGAGGUAACUGUGACCAAAGCUGCCCUAAAGCACUACACACAAAUAUUGAACAUCGUGUCAUCUUGGAUUAGUGAAUUUAAGAUAGUUGCACCUCAAGUGGCCUGCUUCAGUUACAACAAUCCUCUUAGGAAAGAGGAACAGAGAUUUUCUCCCAACAUUUCUUCUUUGAAGAGUAUAAGGCUGUUGAGACAGAAGCUCACAAAGAUCCUUCUAUCUGUCACUUGUCCUCUAUUCACCCCUAUUAGCAUAGGACUUUUUAAUUCAAGUGUGUGAAAUGUACAGAAUUACUUUUUCUUAUCAUUUUUGGACGCUACCACAGAUUUGUAAAAUACAGAAUUAGAACUGAAUCUAAUAAAAAUAGCCACUUGUUAAUCAGCAUUUUGCCAGAUGAAAGUCAGCUCAUUUUAAUAGGAUUCACUCAGACAACAGCUUAUAAUUUACAUGUCAACAUUUCAGCAAAUUUUCAUUUAAGUCUUUUAGUACUAGUUUUAAACUAUCCUUAAAGCACAGUAGCAAGCAAAAGAAAAUGGUGACACUCUAGUAACCAUUUUCUUCUAAUUUUACAUUGCCAGUCUUUUGGGUACUUGAGAAAUGGACUACUACAGUGCAUCUUUCCACAUCUGCCACUAAAUCAAGAAAUUGUGCCUGAAAAAUAUUUUUCAGACAUUUCUCAGUUGCACUUCUCUAACACAGCAUGAAAACAACAUGGAAAUGAUUGUUCUUACCUAGCAGUUCUAUAUCAGUAGAAAAAAAAUGGGGAGAAUGUAAUUUGGAUUAGAAUUGAAAAAAAACCAAACUAUUAUGCUUUUCUAACUAGUUUUAAGACACUCCCCCAAGUAUUCACGUAUAAAAGACAUAGAAAGCUGUACCCUUACUUGACCUAGCACUACCAAUGCAACACAUUUAAAAGAAUUUAAAAGAUGCAGAAAGUACAUACUGGUUAACAUGCAUUAGAAUAUUUUUUUUAAAAUUGAAAUGCAUUAAAGAGUGAUCAUUGCACAUACUUUUAAAGCCAAUACAUGAUGUUUUUGAUUUCUAUAAAACUAAUUAAAAUUUUAGAUUUCUUCUUUUUCUCCUCUCCAGUGAAGACUUUCACCAUUAGAAAUCUAAAAAUACAUAACUGCAGUUAAGUUAUUGACAUGAGAGAAAUGAAAAAAAAACCCCAAACUAUUCCAUUACUGAUGGUGGUCUGUGUGGUUUUUCAGAAGUGUGACUCUGAAAGAUGGAGCAACAUCCAUCUGCCUUGUAACCUCUGCUAAUCUGGGCAGGGCUCCAGGGCAAAAUAAAUUAUUUUCAUGUAUUACUGAAACACUGAAUCAGAUAGAUGGUACAUACAAAUCAAGGUCUUCUGAAAAAUGUAAUUACAGGAUAAAGAGCUCCAUGAAAUUUCUGAAAAGGAGUGAUGGUGCAAUCUACUGAAAGUAACAUUUUAGAAAGCAUAGUACUAUUUUAGCUAGAAGUUCAUUCAUUCUUAAGAUAAAAUUGAUUUUGAUUCUGCAAGUUUUGUGCUGAAUUUCCUUUCCCCAUCUAUGAAACUGUUUUACAGAAAUUAAAUAAUUAUAUUGUACCUUUUGUAGGCCAAUUAUUGUUACAGUUGACUGUACAUAGAGUUGACUGUUGCAGUUGACUGCAAGUUGUUAAAUCAGAAUGGUCAGCAAAGUUUUGCCAGGAUACACUGAGAUUACCUUCUUGGUAGGCUCCGUCUGCCAUUACCAGAUGAAGUAUUUUGGCAUACAGGUGUUUGUGUUCAUUUCCAAGAGCAGUCUGAACUACGGUUGAACAAACAUCAAUAUUUUCAUCUUCAUCUUCGAGUAUAGCCUAGUGGAAAGAACAAACCAUGUAGCCAAAAUUAAUAUGGGUAUAAAAUUAAAUAGUUCAAAUCUAUUAAAUGAAAUUCAUGGUUAACCCAGAUUUUCUCUUUAAUCCACUGGCCAGGCAUUUUCUCUGAUAAUAUUUUAGUGUGCCAAAACAGAUAAAAAAACUAUAGAAAAAACCUUUUACUCUAGUUACACAAAGUAAUUAGUUAACUGGUACAGCAAACAGUCCUAGGUGCUUGUUUCUUCAAAGAUUUCCACUUGAGCUUGUUCCACAAACCUUUAUUUUCUCAUAAACUUCAAUUAAUUUAUCAAAGCCUAUUUCCUGCUCCAGGUUAUAUCUCAACUCUUCUAAAUGGCUGAAGAUACUAUCACAUUCUUCACAUUCGCUGGCAAUCUCUCCAUCACUAU
Molecule: long non-coding RNA, 4898 nt
Organism: Passer domesticus (house sparrow)
Lineage: Eukaryota; Metazoa; Chordata; Aves; Passeriformes; Passeridae
Exons: 5
Source: RefSeq, a predicted model, not a curated record